AGAACGAACGCUGGCGGCAUGCCUAAUACAUGCAAGUCGAACGAACACUUCGGUGUUAGUGGCGCACGGGUGCGUAACGCGUGGGAAUCUGCCCUUGGGUUCGGAAUAACAGUUGGAAACGACUGCUAAUACCGGAUGAUAUCGAAAGAUCAAAGAUUUAUCGCCCAGGGAUGAGCCCGCGUAGGAUUAGCUAGUUGGUGAGGUAAAGGCUCACCAAGGCGACGAUCCUUAGCUGGUCUGAGAGGAUGAUCAGCCACACUGGGACUGAGACACGGCCCAGACUCCGUACGGGAGCAGCAGUAGGGAAUAGUUGGACAAUGGGCGCAAGCCUGG
This 333-nucleotide ribosomal RNA is filed under the name uncultured soil bacterium. RNAcentral's name for it is "bacterial SSU rRNA". It matches the Rfam family "Bacterial small subunit ribosomal RNA", at positions 26 to 386 of the family's 1533-position model. The record is from RNAcentral.